Molecule: long non-coding RNA, 4115 nt
Organism: Solanum lycopersicum (tomato)
Lineage: Eukaryota; Viridiplantae; Streptophyta; Magnoliopsida; Solanales; Solanaceae
Source: RefSeq, a predicted model, not a curated record
GAAAACUCAACCUGAGUCUAGGAAACCCAAAAUGGUCCCUGCGCCCGUCACCCUCCAUUCACACGUGAGCGACGACCCAAAUGGGAAGAGAGAACUUUUGUUUUCUUCCUUGGACGUCCCUAUCAUCGUACAGUUCCAGCAGCCAUGGUAGCACGUUUUAUCCUUUGGAUCAAGAUCGAGUUGCGUGGCACUUCAACGAUGCUGAAUUGAUCAAAACCAUCCAUUUUCUUCCCCAUUUUGGAAUGGUUUCAGAUUUCAGAGAAAAAGCUUUCUUCCUAAAAUGGUGAAAGUUUUCACAGGUUUGAAUUUCAAAUGGGAUUUCUCCUCAUCCGAAUCUUGAUUUUUCCCAUCUCUUUUGAAAGAACAAACCUACUAUCCAUUCUAUAUAAUUUACUCAUUAUUUUAUCUAUAGAAGGGGGAUUUUUUUAGAGAACGAGAAGAAAAUACACAAAGCAGAGUAAUAGAAACAGGCACAAGGAUACUCUUAGAAAAAGGAAGACAAUCAACUUUGGCCUGCUCCUCUGUUCUUUCUUUUGCUGGCGUGUCUCCCAGUUUAUUUUUUUAGACUCAAAAAGUUCGUUUGUUUCUCUUUGCUGCUAUUUGAACUUGUGCUCGUGGGAUAGAAGUCCUCUUCUGUUCAUCAUCCCAGAACGCUGUCUCAGAGAAGGUUCAGGUUCUCAGCUUCCAGAUCACUCAGAGAUCAGUUCCCGAUCUUCUGUUCAACUACACCAAUGACACAUGUAACUAGGUUCAACAUCUGGCAAACCGUUGAUCGAGUGAGCAACUCAGAGUCAAUUGGUGAGCCUCCCAUCAUUCUGGAGGAUAUCUUUAUCAUUCAAUUAUUGUUUUUAGUUUUCACUUGUUAGGAUAAUUGGGGGUCCUCCCCCAACAUUCUUCUUUAUUUUAGAGGCUUCAUAGACUGAUAGUAUUAGUUUCUUUAAUCUUUUCAUUUCACUUGUAAAUGAUUAAGACUGAGUUGUCCUUUUGGCUAAGUAUUACUUUUAUGUAUUUCUUGAGCUUUUUCUUGUGUUUAAGUCUUCCCCUAAGUAAGUAAGCUAGGCCAAGGGUCCGCUCAAGACCAUACAACUCAUUGAUAUCAUCUAAUUUUCAUCAAGUUCUCACUUUGUUUAUUUUCAAAUAUAACUUGAUAGUAAAUGUUCACACAUUAGCAGUGAAAUGCAACAUAACUAGUUAUAAUUGCUCGGUACUUUUACAUAAUUGAACUAAAUAGGAUAUUUCCGGAUCAUUGCUCAAUUAAGAUAGAUUUGUUUUAAGAUGGAAUCAACGUGGGUGUCUCAUGUCACUUUUAAGUAUUUGGUACACAUAAUGUGGUGUAACUAUUAGAAAACAUUACUAAGAAAAUUAAAAGAUUACUGAGAAUUCUAAGGAAUGGUAUUCAAAUACCUUGGAGAAUAUCCUUCACAAAAGAUAUAAUUACACCACAUAUGAGGUCGGAGUCAAACCCCACAAGAAAUAAUGUGUCAGUGAUUGAAAAAUAAAGAAUUACAAUGUAUAAAUUUGUAUCUAAAUGAAAAAUACACAAUUAUUAUAUGAAGAUGAUUUUAGUAAUAAUCACAGAUAGAGGCGAAAGUAUUGUCAAGAAAGGAAUCUAUGCAAUUAUGAAAUGGGAAGCUAAUUGACAUCAACAUGAUCCAUUGCACAUUAAUCUCAAGCAAAUUCACUCAUAUCUAAAAUCGUAUAUGAAUUGGAAAAUCAAUGAUUCGCCUACUUCUCCAAACGUAAGCAAAUAUAUCUUAUUUAAUUCUCCUGAAUCUAGUUAAGUAGCAAUUAUGAUUAGUACAAUUCUAUGCAUAGCAUGGAUUAACUAUAUCUAGCUAUCAUUCGAUGUAUCGGUUGUUACACCUCAAAAACUAAAUUCUUCGGUAUAUCUACCACUAAUAGGAGACGUAGAAAUAGGACCAUACAUUUGAUUUAAAUUCAAUUAACAAGACUACUGGCCAGUACUUCCAAAAUAUUUAUACAACUGAGUUAAACUGAAGCUCUUUACCACUUCUUGCAAAUUGUGUAAAUGCCAUCUCCCAAGAAAAAAAAUCUAAACUUGGCAGGUCUCUAACUAGAGAGGAAGUUAAAUCAGCUAUGUUCUCCUUUCAACCCCUCAAAUCACCGGGCCCGAAUGGCCUCCACCCGCUAUUCUUCCAGAAAUUCUAGAAUGAAACGGAAUAAACAGUAGUCUCCACUUGUAUGACCGCUUUUAGUACUAGCUCUAUUUCCCCUCAAUUAAACAAGACCUUCAUUUGCCUUAUACCAAAAAUUAAUAAUCCUGAACAAAUUACCCACUAUAGGCAUAUUAGCCUUUGCAACACAAUUUACAAAACCACCACUAAUAUUAUUGUUAAAAGAAUUAGGUUAUUCCUAAAUAAUGUCAUUAGUCUGAAACAAUGGAGCUUCAUCCAAGGUCGUAGAGCACUAGACAAUGCUAUUAUUGUUUAGGAAGCUAUAUAUUCUUUCCAAAAACCUAAAGGGAAAUUUGGGAAAAUACUUCUGAAAAUCGAUCUAGAAAAGGCCUUUGAGAGAUUAAAUGGUCCUUCAUUCGGCAAUAUCUAACGAUCUCAAACUCUCCAAAUAAUAUUGCUAAACUUAUCAUGUCUUGUAUAAUAUCUUCCUUCGUAUCAAUCCUAAUAAAUGGAACUCUGAUUAGUUUGUUCCGACCAUCUUGAAGAAUAAGGCAAGGAGACCCCCUCUCACCCUACAUUAUUAUAAUCUUUAUGAAAUCUUCCUUGAGACUCAUACACUUCGCCAUCCAAGAAAGCAUUUGGCAACCUGUUAGGAUAGGUAGAAUAGGAGUUCCUAUAUUUCACCUCCUCUUUGGGAAUGACAUUAUUUUUCUUGCCAAAGCUGGCUCCAUAAAUGCGUCCUCGAUAAUCCACAACUUUAAUGCUCUUUCAAACCAAUGAGGGAAAAAAUCAAUUUCAACAAAUCCACCAUCAUUUUUUCAUCAAAUGUUACACCAUGCGAGAAAUGAAUUAUCCACUAUGAUGAAUAUCCGCCAAUCAGAAAACAUAGGUAAAUACCUAGGCCUAACGAUUGCAAACCAUCAUCCGAAAAUCCAAGACUUUCAAUACACCAUAGACAACCUAAAUAAAAAACUUAGUGGGUAGACACUAGGAUUCCUUUCCAUAGAAGGAAGAACUACCCUCAUUAAAGCAGUCCUAGCCUCAAUUCCAACUUAUGAAAUGCAAUGCAACUUAAUACCCCAAGCUACUAUUAUCGUAUAGACCGCAUCCAGAGAAACUUCCUUUGGGGUCAACACCAGAAAAGAAGAAGCUCCACUUAGUAAAUUGGGACACGUGCACCACUGUGAAGAACCAAGUUGGUCUAGGACUCUAAAACACAAGUGGUAUUAAUUUCUCACUUCUAGCUAGCUUGCACUAAAGAUGUUUAGAUAACAAAGACAAUUUGUAGGUUAAAGCUCUUUCAAAAAGUUAUAGCAAUAGGAGAAACAAUACCUAUACUAGAAAAUUUCACGCCUAUGACUCAUAUAUUUGGUAAAGCCUUACUAAAUCCUACCAACUAUUCCAAAGGUAUAUCUUGGAACAUAGGGGACGGAUAAAAAAAUCUUUGGAAUGAAAGAUGGAUUGAAGGGACUCACACUUUGUGAGAAACUAUCAAUGGACCCCUAAAUAAAUCUGUUACAGAACUUGUAGUGAUGGAUGUAAAGAGAAAUGAUUGGUAUUUAUCCAGAAUCUCCUUCGAGCUCCCUUCCCAUAUAAGAUCUUGCAUCCAUACUUAUACUCAACUUUAUAUGCCCAAAAAAGAUGAUUUUGGAAUCUUAGUAGUAGUGGUAAAUUCAGUGCAAGUAGUUCCUAUAAACUUUUCCUAGGCGCUAAUAAAAAAGACCAUAUUCAAACUCUUGUGAACUUGACUUGGAUUUGGAAACUCAAGUCUCUUAACAAUAUAAAAUUCUUUAUGUGGCUCCUCACUAUCAAUAAACUCCGUAUGUAAAACACCAAAAAAAAUUUGAACUAAGACUCGAACCAUCCUGCGUAGUAAAUAACCUUUUUCCAAGAAAGUUAAAAUUUCUUUAGUAUUAAGUUCAGGUCACUAGAUGUAGCACCUUGAGUUCUAAAAAAAUUGGAAAUAACAAAAAAUUGAAA